UUGUUUUUCUCCAGAAUCCCUAUUACGCAUUUCACAAGCGAUUCCUACCUGAUUGCUAACCAGCCUUGAGACUUGUUAUCCGUUGGGAGGGGGAAGGCAUGCGAAUCACACCAUCUUUCACUUUUUUCCUGAGAGCCGAUACUAAUCGAUCCUCGCGUGGUUACAUAAGAAGAAAUUCCUGAGGAGGAAAAAUGAAAAUCCCUCCCAGCUGACGCUGUGAGGAUUACGAACAUGGGAAAUUCCAUAGCCGGAAGGUUGUCUGCCAACCAUUCGACUCAGAGAGUACAUGUUGCCAGGACACCGACGGAGUGUCAACGUGCGUUCAUCACAUAGACAACACACUUGCAAACACUCAUGCUGUUUUCCGAGGAAAGCAUGUCAUCGAUUUUGGAGAAACUCAACAAACUGAAAAAGUCGGGAGAUGGAGAAAUUCAAAAGAUGAGUAUGUUAUCGAAGAAUCAAAAAUUUGAUGUUCUGGAUAUUCGCAGAAUUGAGACAAUGUAUGGAGACACUGUCUACGUAGAAUUACUGACAGAUAAUGAGACCAAGGUGAAAGUCUACCUUCCGAAUAGAUUCAAGCGACUUUCGGACGAAGACCUGGAAGAGAUGAGACAGUUACCAAACCUCCAAAUGGAGAAGAAGGAUGGAUACCGCAAUGGCAAGAAGUUGGCGUAUCCAGACAUCAUUUUCACUAAUGGGAAGAAAAAGUAACUUCGUAAAUCAUGGUCACCUGUCACUUGUGUGCUCCACAUGAGCGACAGUUCUACGCAACACCGGUAGGACUCCAAAUUCAUCUGGCAAACGUACACCAACUGGAGACACCAUGCAUCCCAUUCUGUGAGACUUUAUGCACACUUCGAAAUUACACAAGACGCUUCGAGCUGCACUUGCAUGACAGAGACGAGGCUGGACAUGAUGUGACAACGUUCUUUCAUCUAUACGGACAGUAUAUUGGUAGUGUGUUGCGA
This is a long non-coding RNA of Ornithodoros turicata, 968 nucleotides long. RefSeq lists it as uncharacterized. The transcript has 3 exons. The record is from RefSeq and is a predicted model, not a curated record. NCBI's taxonomy places the organism in Eukaryota, Metazoa, Arthropoda, Arachnida, Ixodida, Argasidae.